Molecule: ribosomal RNA, 1350 nt
Filed under: uncultured bacterium
Lineage: Bacteria
Description: bacterial SSU rRNA
Rfam family: Bacterial small subunit ribosomal RNA
Source: RNAcentral
AUUGAACGCUGGCGGCAUGCUUUACACAUGCAAGUCGAACGGCAGCGCGGGGCAACCUGGCGGCGAGUGGCGAACGGGUGAGUAAUAUAUCGGAACGUACCCAAGAGUGGGGGAUAACGUAGCGAAAGUUACGCUAAUACCGCAUACGAUCUAAGGAUGAAAGUGGGGGAUCUUCGGACCUCAUGCUCCUGGAGCGGCCGAUAUCUGAUUAGCUAGUUGGUGAGGUAAAGGCUCACCAAGGCGACGAUCAGUAGCUGGUCUGAGAGGACGACCAGCCACACUGGAACUGAGACACGGUCCAGACUCCUACGGGAGGCAGCAGUGGGGAAUUUUGGACAAUGGGCGCAAGCCUGAUCCAGCAAUGCCGCGUGAGUGAAGAAGGCCUUCGGGUUGUAAAGCUCUUUUGUCAGGGAAGAAACGGUAGAGGCUAAUAUCCUUUGCUAAUGACGGUACCUGAAGAAUAAGCACCGGCUAACUACGUGCCAGCAGCCGCGGUAAUACGUAGGGUGCAAGCGUUAAUCGGAAUUACUGGGCGUAAAGCGUGCGCAGGCGGUUUUGUAAGUCUGUCGUGAAAGCCCCGGGCUCAACCUGGGAAUUGCGAUGGAGACUGCAAGGCUUGAAUCUGGCAGAGGGGGGUAGAAUUCCACGUGUAGCAGUGAAAUGCGUAGAGAUGUGGAGGAACACCGAUGGCGAAGGCAGCCCCCUGGGUCAAGAUUGACGCUCAUGCACGAAAGCGUGGGGAGCAAACAGGAUUAGAUACCCUGGUAGUCCACGCCCUAAACGAUGUCUACUAGUUGUCGGGUUUUAAUUAACUUGGUAACGCAGCUAACGCGUGAAGUAGACCGCCUGGGGAGUACGGUCGCAAGAUUAAAACUCAAAGGAAUUGACGGGGACCCGCACAAGCGGUGGAUGAUGUGGAUUAAUUCGAUGCAACGCGAAAAACCUUACCUACCCUUGACAUGUACGGAAGCUCGGAGAGAUCUGAGUGUGCUCGAAAGAGAGCCGUAACACAGGUGCUGCAUGGCUGUCGUCAGCUCGUGUCGUGAGAUGUUGGGUUAAGUCCCGCAACGAGCGCAACCCUUGUCAUUAGUUGCUACGCAAGAGCACUCUAAUGAGACUGCCGGUGACAAACCGGAGGAAGGUGGGGAUGACGUCAAGUCCUCAUGGCCCUUAUGGGUAGGGCUUCACACGUCAUACAAUGGUACAUACAGAGGGCCGCCAACCCGCGAGGGGGAGCUAAUCCCAGAAAGUGUAUCGUAGUCCGGAUCGCAGUCUGCAACUCGACUGCGUGAAGUUGGAAUCGCUAGUAAUCGCGAAUCAGAAUGUCGCGGUGAAUACGUUCCCGGGUCU